GCCAGGGUGGUGGAAUUGGUAGACACGUUGGGUUUAGGUUCCAGUCUUUUUAGGUAGGGGUUCAAGUCCCCUCACUGGCA
RNAcentral lists this transfer RNA (80 nucleotides) under Ishige okamurae. RNAcentral's name for it is "tRNA-Leu". It matches the Rfam family "tRNA". From Rfam's summary of the family: Transfer RNA (tRNA) molecules are approximately 80 nucleotides in length. Their secondary structure includes four short double-helical elements and three loops (D, anti-codon, and T loops). Lineage: Eukaryota; Phaeophyceae; Ectocarpales; Ishigeaceae. The record is from RNAcentral.